This 1428-nucleotide ribosomal RNA is filed under the name uncultured organism. Its description in RNAcentral is "16S ribosomal RNA". It matches the Rfam family "Bacterial small subunit ribosomal RNA". The record is from RNAcentral.
CUGGCGGCGUGCCUAACACAUGCAAGUCGAACGAUGCAAUUAAAUGAAGUUUUCGGAUGGAAGAGAGUUCAGCUUAGUGGCGAACGGGUGAGUAACACGUGAGCAACCUGCCUUUCAGUGGGGGACAACAUUUGGAAACGAAUGCUAAUACCGCAUAAGACCACAGUGUCGCAUGGCACAGGGGUCAAAGGAUUUAUCCGCUGAAAGAUGGGCUCGCGUCCGAUUAGCUAGAUGGUGAGGUAACGGCCCACCAUGGCGACGAUCGGUAGCCGGACUGAGAGGUUGAACGGCCACAUUGGGACUGAGACACGGCCCAGACUCCUACGGGAGGCAGCAGUGGGGAAUAUUGCACAAUGGGGGAAACCCUGAUGCAGCGACGCCGCGUGGAGGAAGAAGGUCUUCGGAUUGUAAACUCCUGUCCCAGGGGACGAUAAUGACGGUACCCUGGGAGGAAGCACCGGCUAACUACGUGCCAGCAGCCGCGGUAAAACGUAGGGUGCAAGCGUUGUCCGGAAUUACUGGGUGUAAAGGGAGCGCAGGCGGAUUGCCAAGUCGGGAGUGAAAUCUAUGGGCUCAACCCAUAACUUGCUUUCAAAACUGUCAGUCUUGAGUGGUGUAGAGGUAGGCGGAAUUCCCGGUGUAGCGGUGGAAUGCGUAGAUAUCGGGAGGAACACCAGUGGCGAAGGCGGCUUACUGGGCACUAACUGACGCUGAGGCUCGAAAGCAUGGGUAGCAAACAGGAUUAGAUACCCUGGUAGUCCAUGCCGUAAACGAUGAUUACUAGGUGUGGGAGGAUUGACCCCUUCCGUGCCGCAGUUAACACAAUAAGUAAUCCACCUGGGGAGUACGACCGCAAGGUUGAAACUCAAAGGAAUUGACGGGGGCCCGCACAAGCAGUGGAGUAUGUGGUUUAAUUCGAAGCAACGCGAAGAACCUUACCAGGUCUUGACAUCGGAUGCAUACCUAAGAGAUUAGGGAAGUCCUUCGGGACAUCCAGACAGGUGGUGCAUGGUUGUCGUCAGCUCGUGUCGUGAGAUGUUGGGUUAAGUCCCGCAACGAGCGCAACCCUUAUCGUUAGUUGCUACGCAAGAGCACUCUAGCGAGACUGCCGUUGACAAAACGGAGGAAGGUGGGGACGACGUCAAAUCGUCAUGCCCCUUAUGUCCUGGGCUACACACGUAAUACAAUGGCGGUCAACAGAGGGAGGCAAAGCCGCGAGGCAGAGCAAACCCCCAAAAGCCGUCCCAGUUCGGAUCGCAGGCUGCAACCCGCCUGCGUGAAGUCGGAAUCGCUAGUAAUCGCGGAUCAGCAUGCCGCGGUGAAUACGUUCCCGGGCCUUGUACACACCGCCCGUCACACCAUGAGAGUCGGGAACACCCGAAGUCAAUAGCCUAACCGCAAGGAGGGCGCGGCCGAAGGUGGGUUCGA